AGAGUUUGAUCCUGGCUCAGAGCGAACGCUGGCGGCAGGCCUAACACAUGCAAGUCGAACGGAUCCUUCGGGAUUAGUGGCGGACGGGUGAGUAACACGUGGGAACGUGCCUUUUGGUUCGGAACAACUCAGGGAAACUUGAGCUAAUACCGGAUGUGCCCUUCGGGGGAAAGAUUUAUCGCCAUUAGAGCGGCCCGCGUCUGAUUAGCUAGUUGGUGGGGUAAAGGCCUACCAAGGCUACGAUCAGUAGCUGGUCUGAGAGGAUGAUCAGCCACAUUGGGACUGAGACACGGCCCAAACUCCUACGGGAGGCAGCAGUGGGGAAUCUUGCGCAAUGGGCGAAAGCCUGACGCAGCCAUGCCGCGUGAAUGAUGAAGGUCUUAGGAUUGUAAAAUUCUUUCACCGGGGACGAUAAUGACGGUACCCGGAGAAGAAGCCCCGGCUAACUUCGUGCCAGCAGCCGCGGUAGUACGAAGGGGGCUAGCGUUGCUCGGAAUUACUGGGCGUAAAGGGAGCGUAGGCGGAUAGUUAAGUCAGAGGUGAAAGCCCAGGGCUCAACCUUGGAAUUGCCUUUGAUACUGGCUAUCUUGAGUAUGGGAGAGGUUAGCGGAACUCCGAGUGUAGAGAUGAAAUUCGUAGAUAUUCGGAAGAACACCAGUGGCGAAGGCGGCUAACUGGCCCAUUACUGACGCUGAGGCUCGAAAGCGUGGGGAGCAAACAGGAUUAGAUACCCCAGUAGUCC
This 742-nucleotide ribosomal RNA is filed under the name uncultured bacterium. Its description in RNAcentral is "bacterial SSU rRNA". It matches the Rfam family "Bacterial small subunit ribosomal RNA", at positions 8 to 796 of the family's 1533-position model. The record is from RNAcentral.